RNAcentral lists this ribosomal RNA (89 nucleotides) under Staphylococcus simulans. RNAcentral also lists the same sequence under 1 other name. Lineage: Bacteria; Bacillati; Bacillota; Bacilli; Caryophanales; Staphylococcaceae. The record is from RNAcentral.
ACCUGUUCCCAUGCCGAACACAGAAGUUAAGCUCUUUAGCGCCGAUGGUAGUCGGACUUACGUUCCGCAAGAGUAGGACGUUGCCAGGC